RNAcentral lists this non-coding RNA (24 nucleotides) under Arabidopsis thaliana (thale cress). Lineage: Eukaryota; Viridiplantae; Streptophyta; Magnoliopsida; Brassicales; Brassicaceae. The record is from RNAcentral.
GAAAGACUUUGUUCCAGAGGGAGG